RNAcentral lists this ribosomal RNA (484 nucleotides) under uncultured bacterium. Its description in RNAcentral is "partial 16S ribosomal RNA". It matches the Rfam family "Bacterial small subunit ribosomal RNA", at positions 28 to 523 of the family's 1533-position model. The record is from RNAcentral.
GACGAAAGCUGGCGGCGUGCUUAACACAUGCAAGUCGAACGAUGAAGCCGGAGCUUGCUCUGGUGAAUUAGUGGCGAACGGGUGAGUAACACGUGAGUAACCUGCACUUGACUCUGGGAUAACUGCGGGAAACUGUAGCUAAUACCGGAUACGACCCUCGGAGGCAUCUCCUGGGGGUGGAAAGAAUUUCGGUCAAGGAUGGACUCGCGGCCUAUCAGCUAGGUGGUGAGGUAAAGGCUCACCAAGGCGACGACGUGUAGCCGGCCUGGGAGGGUGACCGGCCACACUGGGACUGAGACACGGCCCAGACUCCUACGGGAGGCAGCAGUGGGGAAUAUUGCACAAUGGGCGCAAGGCUGAUGCAGCAACGCCGCGUGAGGGAUGACGGCCUUCGGGUUGUAAACCUCUUUUAGCAGGGAAGAAGCGAAAGUGACGGUACCUGCAGAAAAAGCACCGGCUAACUACGUGCCAGCAGCCGCGGUAA